RNAcentral lists this ribosomal RNA (1469 nucleotides) under uncultured Bordetella sp. RNAcentral describes it as "partial 16S-23S ribosomal RNA intergenic spacer". It matches the Rfam family "Bacterial small subunit ribosomal RNA". Lineage: Bacteria; Pseudomonadati; Pseudomonadota; Betaproteobacteria; Burkholderiales; Alcaligenaceae. The record is from RNAcentral.
GGUUUGAUUACUGAAAAACUCAGAUUGAACACUUCGGGGGAUGCUUUACACAUGCAAGUCGAGGCGGCGGCACGGACUUCGGUCUGGUGGCGAGUGGCGAACGGGUGAGUAAUGUAUCGGAACGUGCCUAGUAGCGGGGGAUAACUACGCGAAAGCGUAGCUAAUGCCGCAUACGCCCUUAAGGGGAAAGCGGGGGCCUUCGGGCCUCGCACUAUUAGAGCGGCCGAUAUCGGAUUAGCUAGUUGGUGGGGUAACGGCUCACCAGGCGGCAAAUCCGCCAGCUGGUUUGAAGGACAAACCAGCCCACACUGGGACUGAGACACAGCCAGACUCUCACAGGAGGCAGCAUUGAGGCACAGUUGUGGAAACCCUGAUCCGGCCAUACAUUGCGAUGAAGGCCUUCGGGUUGUAAAGCACUUUUGGCAGGAAAGAAACAGCACAGGAUAAUACCAUGCAACUGACAUUUUCCUGAAUAAAACGCCAGCUUAACUACGUGCCAGCAGCCGCAGUAAUAUGGGUGCAGCGGUAAUCGGAAUUACUGGGCAUGACGUGCGCAGGCGGUUCCGGAAGAAAGAUGUGAAAUCCCAGAGCCCAACUUUGGAACUGCAUUUUUAACUACCGAGCUGAAGUGUGUCAGAGAGUGGAAUUCGCGUGGCAGUGAAAUGCGUAGAUACCGGAAGGCACACCGAUGGCGAAAACAGCCUCCUGGGAUAACACUGACGCUCAUGCACAGCGUGGGGAGCAAACAGGAUUAGAUACCUGGUAGUCCACGCCCUAAACGAUGUCAACUGGCUGUUGUGUUGGGCCUUCGGGCCUUGGUAGCGCAGCUAACGCGUGAAGUUGACCGCCUGGGAGUGGUCGCAAGAUUAAAACUCAAGGUGACCAGGACCGCACAAGCGGUGGAUGAUGUGGAUUAAUUCGAUGCAACGCGAAAAACCUUACCUACCCUUGACAUGUCUGGAAUCCCGAAGAGAUUUGGGAGUGCUCGCAAGAGAACCGGAACACAGGUGCUGCAUGGCUGUCGUCAGCUCGUGUCGUGAGAUGUUGGGUUAAGUCCCGCAACGAGCGCAACCCUUGUCGUGGAUUGCUACGAAAAGGGCAUGGCACUCUAAUGCUGGAGACUGCCGGUGACAAACCGGAGGAAGGUGGGGAUGACGUCAAGUCCUCAUGGCCAUAUGGGUAGGGCUUCACGUCAUACAAUGGUCAGGACAGAGGUCGCCAGCCCGCGAGGGGGAGCCAAUCCCAGAAACCCGAUCGUAGUCGGAUCGCAGUCUGCAACUCGACUGCGUGAAGUCGGAAUCGCUAGUAAUCGCGGAUCAGCAUGUCGCGGUGAAUACGUUCCCGGGUCUUGUACACACACCGCCCGUCACACCAUGGGAGUGGGUUUUACCAGAAGUAGUUAGCCUAACCGUAAGGAGGGCGAUUACCACGGUAGGAUUCAUGACUGGGGUGAAGUCAUGCGCGAGUAG